GGAAGUAAAAGUCGUACAAGGUCUCCGUUGGUGAACCAGCGGAGGGAUCAUUACAGGAUCGAAAGACUCCUAUAACCCCUGUGAACUUACUACAAAUACGUUGCUUCGGCGGGUGCCCCGGGUCUCCCGGGGCGUUCAGCCCGCCGGCAGCCUUCAAAUUCUGUUUCUUUGCGUUGGCAUCUCGAGUAUACAAAAAUAAGUUAAAACUUUCAACAACGGAUCUCUUGGUUCUG
RNAcentral lists this unclassified non-coding RNA (233 nucleotides) under plant metagenome. Its description in RNAcentral is "partial contains small subunit ribosomal RNA, internal transcribed spacer 1, and 5.8S ribosomal RNA". The stretch from base 1 to 53 matches the Rfam family "Eukaryotic small subunit ribosomal RNA", at positions 1778 to 1831 of the family's 1831-position model. The record is from RNAcentral.